UACGAAGGGGGCUAGCGUUGCUUGGAAUUACUGGGCGUAAAGCGCACGUAGGCGGCUCUUUAAGUCGGAGGUGAAAUCCUGGAGCUCAACUCCAGAACUGCCUUCGAUACUGUAGAGCUUGAGUUCGGGAGAGGUGAGUGGAACUGCGAGUGUAGAGGUGAAAUUCGUAGAUAUUCGCAAGAACACCAGUGGCGAAGGCGGCUCACUGGCCCGAUACUGACGCUGAGGUGCGAAAGCGUGGGGAGCAAACAGG
RNAcentral lists this ribosomal RNA (253 nucleotides) under uncultured bacterium. RNAcentral describes it as "partial 16S ribosomal RNA". It matches the Rfam family "Bacterial small subunit ribosomal RNA", at positions 524 to 776 of the family's 1533-position model. The record is from RNAcentral.